This 16481-nucleotide long non-coding RNA is filed under the name Capsicum annuum. Its description in RNAcentral is "long non-coding RNA (CANN_LNC018273)". The record is from RNAcentral. Lineage: Eukaryota; Viridiplantae; Streptophyta; Magnoliopsida; Solanales; Solanaceae.
ACCAAUUGGACACCUGUAACUCUGUCUAAUAAACUCUACUGCUUUUUUGAACCCCUAGACUAAGCCACAGAACCUGCACGGAGGAGGGGGGUCAAUACAGAUGUAAUGAUACUCAAAGUAAUCUAAAAUAAAGCUUUUAUAUAAAUAAAAUAGUUGAGAGAAACUUUGUCAAAACAUCAUACAUCAAGUGGUUUUCAAAACACACGAGCACUUUCUGAAAACAUGAACCUUUUUGAAAAAUGCAAAUUUCGAUCUUUAUAUUACUUUUGAGUUAGGUGGCACUCCCCUAAAAGUCUGAUAUUCCACGGGCUAUAUGGAACUAGCCAUUGACUCGGCGGGGAAGCCCCCAAACCAAGUGUGCCGCAAGGGUUGGAGUGUCUGAUUCUGAUAUGCCACAGGGCUCUAGGCCAGCAUAAUAUAUAAACCCGGAUCGGCAAAUCACAGUUUUGGGCAAUGAGUUAUCUAAACUCAUGACUUCUUAGGGGAACCACCUAAGCUCUCUUUAUGCCCAAUUUUAUCCUAUUUUGAAUUCAUGCAUGUUUCUAGUUUCAACAUCUAAAAAGUCUGAAUUCAAAUAUGCAUUCUAUUCUGUUCUGAAUUAUCAUGGCAUAAUCUGAAUUGGUGUCGUCACACCAAGACUUGCAAGUCCUAUUUCUGAACCAUAAUGUCGCAUGCAUAAAUCUUUCAUUAAAAUACAGUUCAGACUACCCAAAAAUGCAGACAGUAUGAAAGAUUUCAUGUUCCAAAAACACAAGUCCAAACUACACUGAGAUUAUUCAAACAUAUGGUGGUCAUGUUCUUUUGGCAAAAUCAUACACUCUUUCAUUAUAUGAAUACUGUCAACAUUCAUCAACAUAAACAACCCUCUCUCUUUUGUAAUCAAAAUCAUAAUCCAAUUCAAGACAUUUCAUAACAUGUUUUUCAAGAUGCAUUCAAACGAUUUCAUUGUAUAACAUAAGUAGAUGAAAAUCAUCACAAGAGAGGAAUUUUUCAUGAAUCACUCUCUCAAUUUAAUAAUCAACCUUAAAACACAUGCUUACAAUAUAUAUACAAUUAUAAAUCAAUUUGGGGAAGGCCUAAAGACCAAAACAAUAUCAUCAAUGUUUCUAAAACAUGAAUAUAUUCAUAAAUCUGAAAACCCUUUCUUAAAAUCAUGAUUUCUAUGCCCAUGAGAUUUUAGGAAAACCCCGCGUAUCUCUACUUCAGAAAGUAAUGGGUGAUUCUUGAAGCUUGCGGAUUGGGGAUUCCGAAUCUCUAAUUAUCUUCUAAAACUCACGGUUGAAUCUUAAGUAAUUUGGGUUUUUAUUUUGAAACACUAAGGAUGUUCUUGAUGAUUUUGGUGAAAAAGUGAGUAAUGUGGUCUCUUGGGAUAAAAAUCCCGUGUUUGGGCGUAUUAGAAUAAGGGAAAAUUACCCAAUUUCCCUUUAAGACGCGGAUUUUUAAAAGCUGAAAUAACUGGGCAUCGACGUUGCAGGCAACGCGGCGCGUUGGUUGACCAACGUGAUACUCGACGCGUCGCUCCGCCAUCGCAUCGAGCCUCAGUAUUUUUCCUGGCAUUUCCUGCACAAAAUUUGACCAACGCGAUGCGUGAUGCGGUGAGCCAAGAUCGCAUUGGUCCACUGUCUUGGAACACCAAACAAUGUCUAAAAACGCUUCAAAAAAUCUGAAACUCGUCCGAGAUGUGCUACAACUUUUCCCCAUGCAACACAAUAAGAAAAUCUAAAAUUUGACGUCGACAGGACUGAAAAUGAGAUUCCCGAAGGUGAAGAGCUAAAAAUGAGACUAAAUCUCUUUGACACUUAGAAUAUUUUCAAGUUUCUAACUCAAAAAGCAUACCAUUACCAUCUAAUCCCAUGAAAUAUUUUUAUGAAGUGUUACAUUAUCCCCCCUGGAUCAUUCGUCCCCGAAUGAUGAUGUAGAACACACCGACAAGCAUGAUUUCUGCAUACAAAGGUAUAAGAAAGAAUAAGACGAGGAGUGUACCUUCCAUUUCGCCACUUGCCGGCUUAAAUAAGUUGGGGUAUCUAUUCCUCAUGUCAUCUUCUGAUUCCCAAGUUGCUUCUUCAACUUUCUGAUUCCUCCAUAACACUUUAACUGAGGCUAUCUCCUUGCUCCUCAAUUGUCUAACUGACGAUCUAAUAUUGCUAUAGGCUCUACUUCAUAAGAUAAGGAGUCUGUCACUUUGAUUUUUCAACGGGCAAUACUAAUGAAUGGUCUCCAAUACACUUCUUUAGCUUGGAUAUGUGGAAUACCGGGUGAACAGAACCUAAACUCAUAGGAAACUCUAACUCAUAUGCAACUCUACCUAUCCUCCUCAAAGUCUGAUAUGGUUUAAUAUAGAGAGGACUCAAUUUACCUUUCUUCCCGAAUAGCAUGACUCCCUUUAUAAGAUAAACUUUUCGAAAAGCCCAAUCACCGACCUCAAACUCUAAAUCUCUUCUUCUAAUAUUGGUGUAAGAUUUCUAAUGACUCUGAGCUGUCUUAAGUUUUUCCCUAAUAAGUUUCACAUCUUCCAUCGCCUGAUGAACAAGAUCAGGCCCAAACAUCUGCGCCUCGCCUACUUCAUACCACCCUAUUGGUGACCUACAUCUUCUCCCAUAUAGUACCUCAAAGGGCACCAUCUUAAUACUAGAAUGGAAACUGUUAUUAUAAGCAAACUCUAUCAGUGGACAAUGCUCUACCCAACUACCUUUAAAAUCAAUCACACAGGCCCUCAACAUGUCCUCAAGGGUCUAAAUGGUCUGCUUAGCCUGCCCAUCUGUCUGAGGGUGAAAAGCAGUUCUUAGAUUCACCUGGAUACCUAAACCUCUCUGGAAAGAUGUCCAAAACUUGGAAGAGAACUGUUUACCUCGAUCGGAUAUGAUGGACACAGGUGCACCAUGCAAACGAACUUCAGCAAUGAACUGCUUGGCAUAAUCCUCUCCCAAAUAGUUAGUCCUAACAGGCAGAAAAUGAGUUGACUUGGUCAGUCUAUCUACAAUUACCCAUAUAGAAUCAUACUAGUUUCGGGACUUCGGAAGUCCUAUAAUGAAGUCCAUAUUAAUCAUCUCCCACUUCCAUAAGGGUAACGCUAUCUCUUGGCAGGAACCACCUGGCCUCAUAUGUUCUACUUUAACUUGUUGGCAAUUCAAACACUUGGAAACAAAUUUAGCCACAUCACACUUCAUAUUAUUCCACCAAUACAUAGAUUUCAGAUUAUGGUACAUCUUAGUAGAGCCUGGGUGAACAACAUACCUCGAAGUGUGAGCUUCAUCAAGGAUUCUACUCUAUAACCCAUCAACAUAUGGUACACAUAAUCUACCCUGGUACCUCAAAAUACUAUCACCACCAAUUUUGAAGGACACCACCUUCUGUUGACCCAUAUCUUUCUUAAUCUGCAUCAAGAUAGGGUCUUUGACCUACUUCUCUUUAACUUUCACACAAAGGGAAGACUUAGCUAUCUCAUGAACAACCAUUCCCCUAUCUUCGGAAUCCAAGAGUCACACUCCUAGAUUUGCAAGCCGAUGAAUAUAUUUCACCAUCUCUCUCUUCCCUUCCAUAACAUGAAAAAGAUUGCCUAUAGACAAUCUGCUGAGGGCAUUGGCUACAACAUUUUCCUUACCCGGAUGAUAGUAAGGGCUCAUUUCAUAGUCUUUCAAAAUCUCCAUCCAACGCCUCUGCCUGAGGUUUAGUUCUUUCUGCAAGAAAGCAUACUGCAAACUCUUAUGGUCAGUGAAAAUAUCAAUAUGCACCCCAUACAAAUAUUGCUUGAAUUGUCCAAACAAGGAAGUGUGUCUCCUUACAAAUGUCGAUCGAAUUACCAAACAAGAAAGUGCAUCUCAUUGCAGAUGUUGCUUGAAUUACCAAACAAGGAAGUGCAUCUCCUUACAAAUGUUUCUAGAAUUAUCCAAACAAAGAAGUGCGUCUUCUUACAAGUGUUGCUUGAAUUAUCCGAUCAAGAAAGUGUGUCUCCUUACAAAUGAUGCUUCAAUUACUAAACAAGGAAGUGCGUCUCCUUACAAAUGUUUCAUGAAUUGUCCAAACAAGGAAGAGCNNNNNNNNNNNNNNNAAGAGCGUCUCCUUAUAAGUGUUUCUUGAAUUACUCGAACAAGGAAGUGCAUCUCCUUACAAAUACCGCUUGAAUUACCCAAAUAUGGAAGUGUGUCUCCUUAUAAAUGCUGCUUGAAUUACCCAAACAAGAAAGUACGUUUCCUUAAAAUUGUUACUUGAAUUACCAAACAAGAAAGUGUGUCUCCUUACAAAUACCGCUGGAAUUACCAAACAAGGAAGUGCGUCUCCUUACGAAUUUCGCUAGAAUUACCAAACAACAAAGUGUGUCUCCUUACAAAUGUUGCUUGAAUUACCCAAACAAGGAAGUGUGUCUCCUUACAAAUGUCACUUGAAUUAUCCAAACAAGGAAGUGCUUCUCCUUACAAAUGCCGCUGGAAUUACCAAUUUGGGAAGUACGUCUCCUUACAAAUGUUGCUGAAAUUACCAAACAAAGAAGUGUGUCUCCUUACAAAUACCGCUUGAAUUACUAAACAAGGAAGUGUGUCUCCUUACAAAUAUUUCUUGAAUUACCAAACAAGGAAGUGUGUAUCCUUAGAAAUGUUUCAUGAAUUCUCCAAACAAGAAAGUGUGUCUCCUUAUGAAUGCCAUUUGAAAUUUUCAAAGAAAUGCGUCCCCUUAAGAAGGAAGUGUGCUUCCUAGAGAUCUUGAAUUAUAAGUUUUACCGUGGUUUUGAUUACCAAAACUAUGCAACAAUAUUGCCUCUUGCAUUUGUAGAAGGGAGAAAUAACAUCCUUUGAUGUUUAGGCUCUGAAAUCCUUGAUCUGAAUGCAAUAUGUGUUCUUGUUUCAUACAAAGAAAACUUGUGAGUUUAAAAACAUGGUGGCUGGUUUGUGGCUUUGGAUUUUGAGUCAAUCUCUCUUGCCCCAAUCACGUUUAACCUUGCUUACAACCACUAGCAUAUGCCAUUAACUUGUUGCAUUGUUGACCCAAACUCAGAUUAUUAAGAGUGACUCUAAAACAAACAAGGUAUCUCUGCUUCGCCAUGCUCAUCAGAUAAACCCUUUGAACCUUGGUAUUUCUAUGAGUUCCCAAACUUGUCUAUUGAAAAAUUUUUGUAUGUCUUAUUUCAGCUCAUAAUCAUGUCUUUUGCAUGUGCUGGCCAUUUUGUCUUGCUUUGUGCAAUUGAAGAAGCUGGUAGCCAGUUUUGAAAUCUUUUCUCACUUGUUUUUGACACGAACUUGACUCAAAGACAAGAGAAGAAACAAAUGACAAUGAUUUUUUAUAAAAAUAACUGACUCAAGAAAGAUAAAACAAAAAUAAAGACAAGAAAGAAAAGACAAUGAAUGUCCUCUUUUGAAACAAAGGAACAAAAAUUUAUCUAAAAAUGACAGUCAAAUCUAAUGAUUAUGCCAUGCAUUUUGGAUUAAGAUACCUAAUCUUUCCAUCCAAACGCUUACCAAAUGUGGUUGAGUUAAUGUCCUAGAAAAUGAGUCACUUCCUUAGAUCAAUUGCAUUUAAGACCUCAUUCGGCUAGUGACAACUUGAAGUAUUUUUGCCAAUAAGCCUCUCUCAUUUUUCUCUCAUCUCACUAUCACCUUAUGGUGUCCGUGAGGAUUUUCACCAAUAAGACUCUUUCAUUUUUAUCUUGACUUACCAUCACCUUAUGGUGCCUGUGAGGGUUUUCACCAAUAAGACUCUCUCAUUUUUAUUUCUCUACUGAUUCUACUGAGGAAGACAAGUAGUUCCCAAAAUGCGUCAUUAUAUCCAUUCCAUGCUUAGCCGUGACAUUUUCAAAUAUUGGUCUGAAGGUCUUUCUUUGGUUGUAAUUUGGCUUUUGGAUAAGGUUAGAAAGAAAUGAUGGCAUGGGGCCCAAACGACACUUAAAGUGGGGUAAGACUUACAACUUUUGGAAUCGACUCAAACAAUGAGGAUUAACUCAUGCCCCAGUUUUUGACUGGGCAAUUCUAAAUUGUUUAUUUGGUUGGAUCGAGCCACGGGUAGGGCAGCCUACGUAUCUCGGCCUUGAAAGAGGAGAAUCAGGUCACGUGUAGUUCUGGCAACUUGUUCUUUCUUUUGAUCUGAUUUUUCCUUAUUUUUUCUUUUAUUGGCUCUUUUCUCUUUUGAAUUCUUUUUCUGAAUCCAUUUUUCUUGACAUUCUUUUUUCUCUUUUUGGACAUAUUUUUUUCUCUCUACCCCUUUUUUUGGAAACUUUCUGACUCUAUUGUCUUGCUUGAUACUCUUCUUUUGAGCUUUGCUUGCUUUAUCUUGAUUCAAAAAUAGGGGUAUGAAAGAAAAUAACACUAAGGCUCAAAUGGGGUAAAUAAAGGAUGACAUAAUGUUUGGAUAGCAGAAUGAAAUGCCUUCGUCAUAUCAAUCCUUGAAAAUGCAAUUACAUGUCAUGCAAUAUAAAAGUGAGAGAUGAAGAUCAUUUGUGACAUCUUUUUAAGCAUUAACUUUGACUGAGUCUGUGCGUCACUACUUCUACUCUUUUCUAGCAUACAAAACUUUUGUUGUACAUUCCUCACAUUGAAUGACUUAUGCUUUCAUGAAGUUGAUUUUUGUUCUGAUCCUCGGGAGCACACAUAUGCUAUUUGACCUAAUUGAGCUAUGUUUUUCAAUUGAUGACCAAGUUAUUCUUUUGAUUCUCAAAAUAAUUACCUUAAUUUUCAAAGAAGGCUUGAACUUGUCACCAAAUGUCUCAGCACUCUACCUAUUUUCUCAGAUUCUCUCUUUUUCUAUAUUUAACCCUCUAAUUCAAUGUUCAUGCUUACAUUGAAUUUUAAGAUAUGGCUGAAAAUUUCACUAGCAUAUCAUAUCACUAGAGUUAACAUAGAAUGUACUAUGUAAAGAAAACAAACAAACAACAUAUAUUUAAAACACAAAAGAAAAAAGGGACACUCUAUUUAAUUAAAAUGAAAGAUAGAAGGGUUUGAACAUAAACAAAAAAAGAACAAAACAAGAUAGAUCCCGAACUACAACCCUAAAAUAAUUCGGACAACAGAAAAUAAAACAAAACAAGCUACGAGACCUCUUCUUACUAGGGAGAGGGGUAACUUCUCAUUGCUAAGCCUGACAUCUUAGCCACUGGUUUUCAUAUCAACAUGACUAGAGAUUUCCUCACUGUCAAUGUUCUGCACCAUAAUUGAUUUAUCUUGAAUCAUCUUCUCAAUUUCUCUUUUCAAAGCACGACAAUCUUCAAUACUGUGACCCUGAACAUCAGAAUAAUAGGUACAUUAUACAUUAGGAUUAAAGCUUCUUGCAUGUGGAUAAAAAGUAUACCCAAGGAGAGGAUUGAUCAUGCUCUGCUGUGCCAAUCUCUAGAAUAAACUCUCAUACGACUCUCCAAAUUGUGUGAAGUUACCACUCGACUUCUGCCUCAUUUCAUUGUUUAGCUUGGACUAAAAAUCUGGCCUAGAAGGGCUUUGGUAUAUUUGUGGAGUUAGAGGAUGACUCUGAGAAGUUGCUUGCACCAUUGUGGGUAAGAUGAGGGUUGGACAUAUGGUUGUGCAUUAUAUACUGGAUAUGGAAGUGGGGGAAUAGAGUAUAAUGGAUUUUGGAAAAGAUUUUGUGGAGCUUGGGCAUAAACUUGAGUUUAAGCCUGUGGGUAACGAUGGCGUGGUCCUCUUGCCCGUGCCUGUUAUCCAAUUACAAUGGCAUAUGCAUCUUCCUCAUUCUUCUUUCCUCCCACACUUCCCAAACCUUUUUGAAUUGCUUGAGUAGUCUCUUUUAAUGUUGCAAAACUCACAAUGCGACCAGUCUUAAUUCCAUCCUCUGUUAUCUCCCCCAUUUUGAGGACCUUAAUAAAUGGCAUGCCUAAUGCAGGUAACAAGUGUUGAUGAUAUGUUUCAUCCCGUGCUUGAAUAAACGCCUCCACUAUCUUACUUUCUUUCAUUGGAAGUUCUACCCUAGCAGUUUGUUCAUGCCAUCUAAUCGCAUACUCUCUGAAAGUUUCAGUACUCUUUUUCUUCAUAUUAGUUAGGAAUUUCUCAUCAGGAAUCAACUCCUUAUUGUAUUGAAAUUGUUGCAAAAAUUCAUUAGCCAGGUCAUCCCAGCUAUUCUAAUUGUCGAUGUCUUGGUCAACAAACUAUUCUGAAGCUAGACCUAAAAGACUCUCCCCGAAAUAUGCCAUGAGUAAUUCUUCAUUCCCUCCAGCGCCCCUUAGCUAGUUGCAAUAGUGUCUCAAAUGUGCUAAAGGAUCUCCAUGUCCAACAUACUUCUCAAACUUUGGCAUUUUAAAACCAAGAGGAAGAUGUACACCAGGAAACAUACAUAGAUCUUUAUAUGAGACACUUUUGUACCCCCCAAGUCCUUGCAAGUUUUUCAUAGAUAGUUCCAAACUUCUCAAUUUUUUGGCCAUUUUCUCUUAUUCUUCUAUCAUAACAGGCUUCUCAGUGUUAGGAGGAAAUUCAGGCGGUUGAGUACAAUCGUAAGGACCAGUCGACUUAAAUGUGGGCUCGGGAGCAUAAUGUUGAUCACUAAAAAUAUUCUAUACAAGGUCGCUUGUAGAGUGAAGAAUCAUAACCGUUGGAUUGACAUUAAAAGCAGGAGCUUCAGAAGAGAGUGGGGCUACAAAAGCAUGAAUAGCAGGCGGAGCCGAGCAUGUGGUAAUUUUGUAUUGAUGAGUGAGGAAAUAAAUAUUGGAAGUGUUUGGAUACUGUUUCCCCAGAGUAGGUCCUGAUGCAUGUUGUGGUGUGUUGACCAAACUAGGGAAUUGUGCAUGUGACACUAGAGGCAAAUUAGAAAGAUAUUCCAGAUUAUCAACAGGAAAUUGAGGAGGCCGCAACCCAUUAGCCCAAGCUCGAUGCAUUUCUAUAAUUUGUUACCUUAAUUUCCAAAUCUAUUCAUUAGCUCCUACAUUCUCAUUCCCCGAACUCCCUAUCUGAUUAGUGACAACUAACUCAGUAUCCUUGUUCGCAUAACUUUCUCUAUGACUUGGAGCAAUAUAGAGAACCAGCCAAAAUUCCACAACCAACCACCUUAAACUAACUAAACAAGAGAUAGCAAAUGCAUUAGACUUCAACACUUUUUUUCAUACUUUUUUUUUGAAAAGGUCACCAAACCCAAGAGGGGCGCCUACAUAUCUCACCCCCAAAAGAGGAGAAUCAGGUGCACGUAGUUCAUGAAGUCUUGGCAAAAUGGCCAAUCAAACUCUUUUUUUCUUGAAACGAAGUGUCAAAAGAAUUGACAGAAAUAUUUUUGCAUUUUUCAAGUUUAAACUCCCUAUACAAAACGAAACCUAUGAUUACCAAAAAAAAAAAAUUUUUGGGUUUUCGAUUUUUGAAUUUCAUGCGAAAAUGAAACUUGAACCUAUUAAAGGAAAAUCUUUUUGUAGUUUUCUUUUAACGAUGCAUAUGACACCCACUCUAAAUACAGAGUGACAAAAAAUAAAUUUUUGAAAUAAGAUCCCCAAACCAAUAAUAGGCUGCCUACAUAUCUCACAUCCCGAAAGAGGAGAAUCAGGGGUGCGUAGUUCAUCUAGAUUGGACAAUUAAGGAAUAAAAUGAACUAAGACUUGACCUGAGAGACGCGAUUAUAGACGGACGAUGAGAAAUAAAAUCUUUUUGGGUUUUUCAAUUAGACACUUCACAAACAUUGACAUCAACAACUAUGAAAGAAAAAAACUUUUUGGUAUUUUUAAGAAAAUGAGUGUGAGAGGUAAAAAAUAUCUUUUUGAAUUUUUAAAUUGAGAAAAACAAAAGCCAUAAAGAACUCAAAAAAUAAGAAAAUCUUUUUUUUUCUCUGCCUACACACUUUAUUUCUAACACAUGUUUUCCCCAAAUCAGUCCGUCAAAUGACCCCAUUACCCUCAAAGAUGCAACAUUUAGCACGUAGGGAUGCGUCAGAGGUGAGUCUCCUACAAAGGAACAAAUGGGCUCCACUAGGUAUCUCAAUAUGAUGCACAUAAGUAUGACCAAAAGGCUGACCUACGCUGGAGUUUACUAACAAGGCUGUUCGGGGGAGCGUAUGGUCCAUAGUAGCUGCUUUAGCUGUCCACCUACUCCAUACAGGCCAACGGCUCUUCCCCUAAGAUAAGGCUGACUCAACUAGAGGUCGUGUACACAGUGUGUACUACGGACUUGCUUCAGAAAGAAUGACUCGGGUUAUACACAUGAUGCCAGAUAUAAAACAGUAACCCAUAAGAUAAAAACUUUAAAUAAAUAGCCCGUAAGAACUCAACAAUGAUAAACAAUAACACAAAACAACACAAAAAAAAUGUCUAUACACCUAUAGUGCUAAACUAAGCCGAUACGACUCCAAAAAAUAAGCUAGAAUUUUGAAAAUUCCCUUGCAAAGUCGCCAAAGCUGUCAUAGCCCUUUUUCUACCGAAAAAGAUUCAUUUUAAGUCCAAAAGUGUUUUAUUAUUAAAGUGACAAAAGAUGAAAAUUGUUUCGAAAAGGAUUUAUUAGUUUCAAAACUCAGAGUAGCCACUUGGAAUAAAUCGGGUGUGCAAAGUCACCCGUGGAUAUCCUUUUUCAAAACGAUUUUGACUCUAUAAAAAUGAUCCGUGAACAGAGAUUCCAGCUAAGGAAUUUUGUUGACCGAGGAAAAAGUGUUAGGCACCCCUCAAUCCCGUGGUUUGACCACGGUAUCUUGGUGGAGUGUAUCGGCUAAUUUGACACUACGAAUAUAUAAACCACACAAAUACACGCAAAAAACUCAAUCAAGCAAACAAAAUUCAAAACCAAAAUAAUGUCUGAGUUAUACAUCCUAAAAAAUAGAAAAAUACGAAAAUAUAAAUCCUAUUCUAAACUAAUCCUAGACUCAUGCUUUAAUUCUUUACCCGUGCCUCGGGCCUUCAUCACGAACCCCUUUUGUGAACAUGAUACGACGGGGCAUUCCUCGGCGAAUAAGUACAAUGUGACCUCGGGGAAUUCCCCGGUUAAAUGAAUACAUUUCUUUCAAUACGAGAAACCAAACCAUUCAGCACAAUUUCAAACAUGCAACAAAACCACGAGUCCUAAGUUUGCCUUCCCUGAACCUAAGAUUUGCAUAACGACCCUCGACCUAAAAUAUGCUAUUAUCGAGAUCAACAUAAUUAACAUUCAUUUCAAUUUAAACAACCAACAACAAAUCGACAUAAACCCACAUUCAUGUUUAUUAAUUCUUCGAUUCCCGCCCUAAUUUCACUCUUAACCAAGGAUAAUCAACAUUAAUAUGAAAUCAACCAAUCAAAAUCACCACUGCAACAAUUAAAAUUGCUCAAAAACACACAAUCAAAACAUAUCAACAAUUCACACCAUCACUCACAUAAGAUUGACAAAAUUAUAAAGAAAGAGAUGAAAAUUGGACCUCAAAUUUUGCCUCAAUCAACCAAAUUCCUUUAGCAAUCUCAUUAUUUCAUAGAAAGAGCAUCGAUCAAAACCAAGCCAACCUCAAACCAACAACGACCUCAACUCGAACCCAAAAUUGAAUUGAAUUUGACCAAAAAAUGGAAUCUAGAACGAGAUUUUUGUAUUUGUUUGAGCUACGGAUGGAAUUCCGAUGAGAUUUGAACUAGAAAAUGAAGGAGAGAAUGGUCUUCCAAUGUGAGUUCAAUCGGAGUGAAGCUGGUGAUGCUGUUUUCUGUAGGUUUUGUCGGAUUUCUCUCUCUUCCUGAUUUGCUGGUUGUUUUGAUCCCACUCUCCUCCCUCUAUUUGUUUUUCUCUCUUCUUACCCCUCUCGAUCUCUCUCAAUUGAUUGUCUGUGACUGAUGUCAUAUGUGUAGAGCUGUGCGUACCUAGUAUUGAUGGAGUAUAUCUAUGAGUGUGUGAUGGUGUGCGUUCUUUAGAAAAAUGGCGUGGAUCAUUGGCGAGGAGUGUAAGUUCUAUCCCCUUUCCUUGUUUCUCUCGUGUGUGUAUGUCCUAGGUUUAGAGAAGGAGAAAACCAAAAAUGGAAAUUCCCCCAAUCCCCCUUUUUGUGGGUUUUGUGCGUGUAUAUGGUGUUCCCAAAAGCAAUGAAGAAAGGAGUUGAUGGCUCAGUGUUCAGCCCCUCCUAAUUGUGAGAUGUAUUUUGUAUAUAUUUUUUGUAGUGGGGAAAAAAUGUGCCAAGGGCGGGGUAUGCAGGUAUAGGAUUAAGUGGUGGGUAGGGUAGUGGUGAGGUGUUCUCAUUUGAUAGGGGUUGUUAGGAUAAACUAAAAUCAGACAAAAUUUGUUAGGGAUUUUGUUAAGGGUUGUUAUUUUUGUAUUUUAUGGAGGGAUAAUUACAUGAUUGAGGGUUCGUGGUAAGUUAAGCUAAAAAAUGGGUAAAAUUAAGUUCGGAAGGGACAAAAUUAGGUGUCCACAUACUUGAAAAGACUAUUCUGACACGCCUCCACAGUUUUGAGCAAACCUAAUAACUGAACUCUUAGUGUCUUCACUUUAGCCCCCGCACCUUCAUCCUAAUGGUCAUCAACUAUUCAUUCUUCCUAUAUUCUCCCUCUAAGAUGCACUGGUAAUGGCUAGAUGAUAUCUCGAGGUAUGGAUCGAAGCCAAACCCCAUAUCCCUAAGUGUACCCCGAAUUAAUCCAAACUUUCUUUGAGAGUGUCCACACCUAGCUUUGUUGCAUGCUUCCAAAAUUGCUCGUAUUUUCUCUCACCUAAGGCUUGGUCCUUGAAGUACUCAACAUCCUUUAGAAGAUCCACUACUGGUGGCACGCCCUACGGCCUACCCAACUGGCAUAUUACCCUAGAAGGACUGUAUGGUCUAGUGCAAUUGAGCCCUAACAUAACCAGAAGGAUCUGCAUCUGACAACCAAACAAUAUUAUCUUUGGUCGAAGGCACAGAUAAGUCCACACAAUGUUAUCCUCGGUUCUUGACUCAAUAAAUUCAAUCCAAGCAUCGACUCCCAUGGGUAGCGAGAAUUUAUCCAAAUGCAACCUGAGGUCCAUGGCUUCCACUCGAUUGGGAAUACAAUGAUCAACCACGUCUGGUCUAACUAAAGAAGGCUCAUGAAAAUGCUCCAUCAUCCACAACCGCAAUACCAUGUUACUGCCCUAAAAAAAUCUCAUUCCUCCCUUCACUUCGGUUAAAGCCUUAUUUAUCUCUAUUAAGAUCAUGGGUAUGAUAGUGAACUUGUCCUUUUGAUUAGUGACCUUGUCCUUUUGAUUAGCAAUCUUGUCCUUUUGAUCCUUACAAAAUAGAGCCAUCACCACAUAUUGGAAACGUGUAUUAAUACGCCUUUCUUCUAGCGGAAACAAUAGAGUGCCUAAUAGAGCGAGGGUGAAGACUUCAAGACGCUUUCUUUCCCACUUCUGCUUAGUCAUAUAAAAUUCAUCCCAAAAGUGGUUAAAACCUUCCAAGGACCCAAAUCUAGCGAAUAGAAAGUCUAAGGAAAUCCAUGAUUGAUUCAGACAAUCCAAAUGUCCGUUGUUACUUUUUAAACCACAUCCUUGUAGAAACCUAUUGCCCGAGUGAUUCUGAGCUCGAAUCAUACUUUUGUCAAUAUAUGGCAAAUGAAGCAGACCAGAUAAUUCUGCCAAACUAGGCGUCAUUUCACACUUUUCGAACCUAAACACCAAAUUACUAGGAUCCCAAAAGGUCAACAAAGCAUCUAUUAGAUCUGGAUGGGGUGGGACAUGCAGAAAUUUUGUAAGAUCACCUAAUAUCUUAAUUAGCUCUUGCUUGUCAGCGUAGUUGAACAUACCCCACCACUUGAUUAACUUUUUGGACACUUUGGAAACCAUCAAGACUCUAGACCCUGUAGGCUUCAUCCUAUAAUAACAAACCAAACUUACAACUCAAAAAUUCAAAACAAGACAAAGAACUCCCGACCCUUGAGAUUUUAUCUUAGAAAAAUGUCGUGUGACAUGGAGGGACAGACUGACAUAUAACUCAAAUCUACCGAACAGUAUUGCCGAAUAAAAUCAGCCUACUUGGCAAGAAUCAAUUGACAACACUAGAUUACAAGGAGAAAGACCCUUCUAAGAUGGAGUCAAAGACCAAAGUAGAAAGAUUACUGGACCUGCCGAGGGUUGCCUACGUAUCCCUCCUCGAGAGACAGGAAUCAGGUACGCGUAGUUCAUCCAGAUUACACAAUUAAGAACUAAAGCAAACUAAGGCUUGACUUGAGAGCCGGGAUUACAGACAGACGAUGAAAAUAAAAUCUUUUUGGGAUUUUUAAUAGACACUUUACAUAAAAUGACACCACUAUGAAAUUAAAAUAUUUUUGGUGUUUUCGUACAAAGAUUCUAUCUUUUUUUUUUUCUAAUUUCUUGGAUUAUGAAAAACAAAAUCCAUAAAGAACUCUAAAAACUAUGACACUCCUUUUUUUCUUUUUUUUUUUCAAUUACCCACACACUUUACUUCUAACACAUGUUUUCCCCGAAUCAGUCAGUCAAAUGACCACGUUACCCUCAAAGAUGCAACAUUUAGCACGUUGGGAUGCUUUAGAGGUGAGUCUCCUACGAAGGACCAAGUGGUUCCUGCUAAGUCUCGUCAUGAUGCACAUAAGCAUGACCUGAAGGCUAACCUACACUGGGGUUCACUAACAAGGCUAUUCGGGGGAGCGUAUGGUCAAUAGUGGCUACGACAGCUUUCCACCUACUCCAUACAACCCAACGGCUCCCCCAUUCUAAAAUAAGGGUGACUCAACUAUAGGUCGUGUACACACGUGUACUACGAAAUUGUUGCAGAAAGAAUGACUCGGGUUAUACACAUGAUGCCAGAUAUAAAGCGGUAACACAUAAAAUAAAAACUAUAAACAAAGAGCACGUAGGCACUCACCAAUGAUAAACAAUAACACAAAACAAAACAAACAAAAUGUCUAUAAACCUAUAAUGCCAAACUAAGCCGAUACAACUCCAAAAUAAGUUCGAAUUCUGAAACGUCCCCAGCAGAGUCGUCAAAGUUGUCACGCCCCCUUUUUAACCCAAAAAAAAAUAGAUUUUAAGUUUCGAAAAGGUUUUUAUUAUUAAAAGUGACAAAAUAAAGAUUUUUGUUUCAAAAAGGACUAUUUACCAUUGUUAUUCAGAGUCGCCACUUGGUAUAAUCUGGUGUGCCAAGUCACCAUGGGAAAAUCCUUUUCAAAACCAUUUUGACUCUGAAACUGAUCUGCGAACAGAGAUUCCGGCUAAAGAAUUCUGUUGACCAAGGGAAAGGUGUUAGGAACCCCUCGAUCUUGUGGUUCGACCACGGUCGCUUGGUAGAGCGUAUGGCUAAUUUGACACUACGAACAUAUAAACCACACAAAACACAUAAAAACAUCAAUAAAACAAAAUGAACCCCAAAUAUAAUGUCAGUCCAACUAUACAACCUAAGGUAGAAGAAAUGCAAAAAUAUAAAUCCUAUUCUAACCUAUCCUAAUCCUAAGUACGCUCCCGUGCUACCCUACGCCUCGGGCCUUCAUCACGGACGUCCUCCGAGUACAAAAUACUUUGGGGUAUUCUACAAAUAAAAUAAUACAAGUACUUCGGGGCAUUCCCCGGCCAAAUGAUACAAUUGAAUCAAGUACAAUAAACUAGAAAGUAUUCAACCAAUAUUCCAGAUUCAAACAUUCAACGAAAACUCUUAUUCAUAGGAAUUUUGCCUACCCGAACCUAUAUUCGCCUAUUCAUUUAAACGUAUCAUAAUACUAUCACAUCAAUGACAUUUAAUGAAUCAAAAUAAAUUAAUGAUUGCUUUUUAUCAAUUUCAAUUCCAACCCCUACUUGUUUCAUUUUUUAUCAAUUACACCUCCAAAGUUACUCUGAUUCAUUCCAUCUAUCAACGAAAUCACAUCGUCAAAAAUAUAACAUCAUAACAUCAACAAAAAUCCAACAAUCACCACGAAUAAUCACAACCAAUUCAAAUAAUCAAAAUUAAAGAACGGGGAGACGGGUUAAAGAAAUGGACCUCGAUAAAACGUUCUUGUAUGAUAAUAAAGAAAUCUGAAGACCAAAAUACUCGAAUGGAGAACCUCAACAGCGACAAACUCCGAUUUUGAUUCCAAACUGAUCUCAAUAGACAGGUCAAUACGAAUGAAAAUCAAACCCAAAACCCGAAAUGAGAAUCAAUGAACCCCGCAACCUGAGUUCGAAAAUGAAUCACCAAAACAGACUAAACCAAGGCUUCAACGGUCCAAUAGCCGCUAAAGAAAUUGUAUGACCUAAGCUCUGAUGAGUGAACAAAGACAUGACAACCAAAACAGUGAACAAAGAACAGGUUUUGUCCAAAAAUCAAAGGAAAAUAAAAUGAGUUUUUGAGCGAUUUUGAGGAGAGGUCUAUUGAAAAACGAGAAAGAAACUGAUAUGCGAACUCGAGGUUGAUUUCGGCAAACUUGCCGGAGCUCUCAACCCAGAAUCUCUCUCUCUCUGCUACUCUCUUUCUUUCGAUCUACUCUCUUCUCGCCACCUCACUGUGUGUGUGUGCGCGGUUUUAGUGUAGAAGAAUCGAAGGUUUCUUUUUUUUUUUUUUUUUUGAUAUUUCUCUUCAUGGAGAAGAUGAUAUGAUGAUGAUGGUGAGAGUAAGAAAGAAUGGAAAAGAAAAUGGAGGUGUGUCUAUGGUGGUUUUCAGGAAAGAAUAAGAAGAGCCUAAGAUUUCUUUUCUGUCUAUUCUUG